RNAcentral lists this long non-coding RNA (414 nucleotides) under Linum usitatissimum (flax). RNAcentral's name for it is "long non-coding RNA (LUSI_LNC001505)". The record is from RNAcentral. Lineage: Eukaryota; Viridiplantae; Streptophyta; Magnoliopsida; Malpighiales; Linaceae.
UCAUAGCCAUUAACGAGCCAAAAUACCGUUGGAUAAUCCGCUUUGAUCAUUUGCUACGCCUCCCGAGUUAGGAAUUCGAGAGCCGAUUCUGUUUGUCGGAUGGCUCAGAAAAUUCAAAUUAUUGAAAUGGGACAGAAAAUAAAAUAAAUGCUUUAAGGUUACGUGUAACACGCACGUCCUCAAGCACUUUAUAUCUUUUCGUAUAAACCUCCAACCUCCGAUUCUCUCAGCCAAAAUCACCGAUGGCCGCCGAUCGCCAACCGCCGCCGCCGACGGACACAACUACAACCACCAUCGAAUCGUCAUCAUCAGCUGGUCCGCCGCACGAAGCUCUGUUCCUCGUCCUGCCUUACCUGUACGUACUCGAGCUUCUCUCGAUCUCCAGCGUAUGCUCCCAGCUUCGCGCGGCGGUGG